This 268-nucleotide unclassified non-coding RNA is filed under the name Hevea brasiliensis (rubber tree). Lineage: Eukaryota; Viridiplantae; Streptophyta; Magnoliopsida; Malpighiales; Euphorbiaceae. The record is from RNAcentral.
UUUUUUUCAGGUGUAAUAUUGGAAUCUUGGUUUCAACCUGAAAAUAUAAUUCUAAUUUCUUUUGGAAUCUUGGUUGGCAGAGCCAAGAUUCUAGAAAGACAGCCUUUGAUUCUUGUAGAUAUGAGCGUUAGGCAUGAUCUAGAUGCUGAGACAUAUAGUUAGAAGUCUUAGAACCACCUCCUAAUUUGGAAUCUUAAUGGAUACUUCAACAUUACUUCUGAUAUCUUAAUUGUUGAAAGCUUAAGAAGAGCCAUUUAUGCAGUGAGCA